This 497-nucleotide ribosomal RNA is filed under the name uncultured bacterium. Its description in RNAcentral is "partial 16S ribosomal RNA". It matches the Rfam family "Bacterial small subunit ribosomal RNA", at positions 28 to 507 of the family's 1533-position model. The record is from RNAcentral.
GAUGAACGCUGGCGGCGUGCCUAAUACAUGCAAGUCGAGCGAACAGACGAGGAGCUUGCUCCUCUGACGUUAGCGGCGGACGGGUGAGUAACACGUGGAUAACCUACCUAUAAGACUGGGAUAACUUCGGGAAACCGGAGCUAAUACCGGAUAAUAUAUUGAACCGCAUGGUUCAAUAGUGAAAGACGGUUUUGCUGUAACUUAUAGAUGGAUCCGCGCCGCAUUAGCUAGUUGGUAAGGUAACGGCUUACCAAGGCAACGAUGCGUAGCCGACCUGAGAGGGUGAUCGGCCACACUGGAACUGAGACACGGUCCAUACUCCUACGGGAGGCAGCAGUAGGGAAUCUUCCGCAAUGGGCGAAAGCCUGACGGAGCAACGCCGCGUGAGUGAUGAAGGUCUUCGGAUCGUAAAACUCUGUUAUUAGGGAAGAACAAAUGUGUAAGUAACUAUGCACGUCUUGACGGUACCUAAUCAGAAAGCCACGGCUAACUACGUG